This 435-nucleotide long non-coding RNA is filed under the name Homo sapiens (human). RNAcentral's name for it is "HSALNT0093783". The record is from RNAcentral. Lineage: Eukaryota; Metazoa; Chordata; Mammalia; Primates; Hominidae.
CUGAACAUCUACUUAGUGGUUAUAAAAUAUUUGCUGCUGAAAGCCACAGAGCAUUGAUAAACAGAUCCUGGACAGCUGAGUUAUUGCAAUCUACUUAACAUGAGGAGAACAAAUUAUUAUGCUUUACUUUAACACAUGCAGAAAAGGAUGGAUUCAUCUCAUUCAUGGGAAACAGAUGAGGAAUACAUUUUCUGUGAAUGCUAUUUCAAAAAGAGCACAAAGGAAAGGCCAUGCGAGGACACAGGGAGAAGACAGGCCCCUACCAGUCAGGAAGGGAGCCCUCACCAGAAACUGAGCUGGCCAGCACAAUGGUCUUGGACUUGUAGCUCCAGAACUGUGAGGAAAUAAAUUUCUGUUGUUGAAGCCACCCAGUCUGUGAUUUUUUUUAUGGCAGUACUAGCAGAUUGAUAUACCUUCCAUCUAGUUGCCUGAAAA